GAAAUGCGAUAAUUAAUGUGAAUUGCAGAAUUCAGUGAAUCAUCGAGUCUUUGAACGCACAUUGCGCCCCCUGGUAUUCCGGGGGGGAUGCCUGUCCGAGCGUCAUUGCUGCCCUCAAGCACGGCUUGUGUGUUGGGCUUCCGUCCCUGGCAACGGGGACGGGCCCAAAAGGCAGUGGCGGCACCAUGUCUGGUCCUCGAGCGUAUGGGGCUUUGUCACCCGCUCCCGUAGGUCCAGCUGGCAGCUAGCCUCGCAACCAAUCUUUUUAACCAGGUUGACCUCGGAUCAGGUAGGGAUACCCGCUGAACUUAAGC
RNAcentral lists this unclassified non-coding RNA (314 nucleotides) under plant metagenome. Its description in RNAcentral is "partial contains 5.8S ribosomal RNA, internal transcribed spacer 2, and large subunit ribosomal RNA". The stretch from base 1 to 105 matches the Rfam family "5.8S ribosomal RNA", at positions 50 to 154 of the family's 154-position model. The record is from RNAcentral.